UACAGAGGUCCCGAGCGUUGUUCGGAUUUAUUGGGCGUAAAGGGGGCGUAGGCGGCGGAGUAAGUUGGGUGUGAAAUCCCGAGGCUCAACCUCGGAAUUGCAUUCAAUACUGCUUCGCUCGAGUACUGGAGAGGAGGCUGGAAUUUACGGUGUAGCAGUGAAAUGCGUAGAUAUCGUAAGGAAGGCCGGUGGCGAAAGCGAGCCUCUGGACAGUUACUGACGCUGAUGCACGAAGGCCAGGGGAGCAAACGGG
Molecule: ribosomal RNA, 253 nt
Filed under: uncultured bacterium
Lineage: Bacteria
Description: partial 16S ribosomal RNA
Rfam family: Bacterial small subunit ribosomal RNA
Source: RNAcentral